RNAcentral lists this ribosomal RNA (425 nucleotides) under uncultured bacterium. RNAcentral describes it as "partial 16S ribosomal RNA". It matches the Rfam family "Bacterial small subunit ribosomal RNA", at positions 354 to 796 of the family's 1533-position model. The record is from RNAcentral.
GUUAGGAAUAUUGGACAAUGGGCGCAAGCCUGAUCCAGCCAUGCCGCGUGAGUGAUGAAGGCCUUCGGGUUGUAAAGCUCUUUAGUCCACGAAUAUAAUGACUGUAGUGGAAGAAUAAGCCCCGGCUAACUUCGUGCCAGCAGCCGCGGUAAUACGAAGGGGGCGAGCGUUAUUCGGAAUCACUGGGCGUAAAGCGUGCGUAGGCUGUUUUGUAAGUCAGAAGUGAAAGCCCAGGGCUUAACCCUGGAAUUGCUUUUGAAACUACAAGACUCGAAUUCGGGAGAGGAUAGCGGAAUUGUCAGUGUAGCAGUGAAAUGCGUAGAUAUUGACAGGAACACCAGUGGCGCAAGCGGCUAUCUGGACCGAUAUUGACGCUGAGGCACGAAAGCGUGGGGAGCAAACAGGAUUAGAUACCCCUGUAGUCC